CUUUCCUUCAUUUCCAAAGAUUUUCCCUAAAAAAAUGCCUCAUGCAGAUACUACGAGAGCCUACUUUUUAAUUCCAUUGGUAUUCUUUUGGUCUUUCCCAAGAAGCUUUUAUGGCAGAGAAGACACUGGGGUAUGGAGUGGUGGCAUCAUUGUCAUUAGAACUUAAACUGCUUAAAAGAAACUGAGCAGUGAAACUUUGUAUGUAGCACGAUUUGUUGUGUCCAAGUUGGCCAACCUGAAGGACUGGGCUCUUUGCCUCAGGAAGCAUGCGAAGACCUUGACUUUGUCUGACCCCAGUCAUCAAAACUGGCAGUUAUAUCGUGAGGUUAAAAGAAGAGAUUUCUUCUUUUGAGAAUGAAGGGCUCAGUCAGAACGCACAGCUGAGUCAUUCUGUUCAUGAGCUAGUAUUCUGACUCACUUGUCAUUCACCCAGCAGAGAUGCCAGGUCCUUGCCUGGACCCUGUCCCUGAGUAAUUGAUAGUCUGAUGGGGAGGCUCAGCCCUGUUCAUCAAGGCUGAAACUGAUGAGCACAGAUGGAGCUCUUUGGGUUCCAGGAAAGGAAGACAACUUUAACAUCACUGAGCUGAAAGACAGAGGAGAUGGUAGGAGGCAUCAUGAACUCUCUGCCUUCACCUGCCUUUCUGAAGGACUGCUGAGCAUUCCUCAGGGGUGGCCCAUCCUCAGAUUAGGACAUUAGGGACAGUUGAUGAGGAAACAAUGACUACAGUUUGUCCCUUCCUUUUGCUAAAUGUAGUCCCCCUUGGGUACCAUAUAUGGCUCUCUUGACUACCAUUUUUAGAGGACAUCUCUUACAAGAUUACCAACAGCCUUCUCCAAAGCAAUGCUCUCUUAGGAAAAAUGGCUUAAAUAGAAAGAAGAGACAAAGAUGGGGGGAGUAGUAAGAGUCCUCUUUCCUUUUGGUAGAUUUCUCUGUGAAGAAAAUGGAUUGUUUCCCCUACAAUUAUGUUAUUCCAGAUCUGGAGGCAGAAAAAAUGGGCCCCUUUCCUGCUUUACAUCCAGGGAAAACAAAAGACCUGAAACUCAACCUCACUACAGUAUUCUACCCAUCAUUCUUAACCAUCAUUUCUUCACAUCCAUGGAUCACAGGCCUUCAUUCUGAACCUUAUGGCCUCAAAGAGUUUAGGUUAAGCGGGAUGCUGUGAGUUUGUAAAUGGGAUGGGAGAAUGAGGAAGAAGGUUGUUCUCUUGGAAACAGCUGAGAGAAACACAGGGCACAAAGACAUGGCACGAGGGUCAUCCUGGACCUUGUGUUAGCUGAAUAACCUUCAAAAGUUCCCUGUGAGAUAAGAAGCCCUCAGCUAAUCCCACAAUGUCCCUUUCAACCAACAGUUAGUUGUCAAUUCCUUUCAAGAAUUAUUCUUCCUUUGUCACUGAUCUAUCCUCAUAGAAAAUGCUGAGAGCUGUUUUGAGGUACUUUAUCAACAGAGUUCUGAAGUCAAGAUGUAUCACAUCCACUGCAUUCAUCACUAACCAGGUGCUCAUUUCUAUAUUAUUUAUUUAGUCCAAACAAGUCUGUUUCAAAGCUACGGAUUAUGUCAAUAGGAGUUGGAUUUUUAAAAAGUCUUUACUGUUCAACAGGGAUGAAAAAUAGCAUUCUUUAUUUAAACCUUCAAGAUCUCCUAGUUCAAUUCAGCAUACUGCACCACUGAAAGUUGACCAGAGGAUUUUCACUAAGUAUAACUAGUUGAAACCCAGUGACUUCUGUAUGUAGAAAUGCAGAGUUAGGAAGCUGUGUUGCUGCAUGCCAGGACCAUGUGGAGUUGUUGUCUUCAGCCUCUCUGCCCCUGCAAGCAUAGUCCUCCUCUCUACAGUCCAGCUGGAGUACUGGAUUUGCCACCAGCCCACUCCACCAGCCCAGGCAGAGCUUCCUCUUUUGCAAAUGAAAACAAUAUUCCCUAAGAUUCCUUCCCUCCAUACAAUGGUGUAAUCAACACACCCAUUCCUCCGAGAAAAAGUGUACACCCUUCCUUACCCAUGCUAAUGUGUAUAAACAUAAGGACCUGGGGGAGUCUCUUUAAAUUGAAGGUAAAUAUCUCCUAAAUCAACUCAACUAUAUUUUUCUCUUGAUUUAAAAGAGAAAGAUGAAGCCAACUGCUUACCACCCUAAUAAAUAUACUCAAAACACUGAUCUUCACCAUGAAAAACACGUUGGUGUCUCCAAUCCCUUUUCUUAGGGUGAUGGCUAAGUGUUUAAGUGUAUUGGGGUGAAGGCCAAAGCAUUAUCUCACCAUGAGAUAGGGAUUGACCAUAUUUGAUCUCUAAAGACACUGUUGACCAAGUGAAACAAAACCAUGCAAAAAGGAAUCCUGCAAACUCCACUGUUCCUUGUAAGUCCACUUAGAGCAGGUGACUGUCCAUUAAAAGUGAACUUUGGGUCCCCCAAAUUAUGGACCUUUUCUGCUUUUCUAUGUGAUACCUAAUUGGAUCUUCUCAACAGCCUGAAUAGUGAGGUCACAUCUAAUAUGAACAUGAGGAAACUGAAGGUCAGAGAAGUUGACCUGCCUGAGGGCAACACCAGUACCAAGGACUAAGAAUCCACCCUGAAUCUCAUGCCCCAGUCAGUGAUGAGCCAACCCCAUUCUUUUGAGAGUUAGAAGUGUGCAGGCCACCAAUUCCCACCAAGGUAGGCAUAGAGAUGUCUGUUCUUCAAACACCCUCGCUAGGAAUGUCUUUCAGCCAUGAGUAACUCCAAAACUGGAGGAAAAUGCUGCCAAAUAGUCUCCGAUACCAGGAACAGGACAUCCCAGCCUUGUCCUGGGGCAUGUCCUGGCCUCUUAGAAUAUAGCUGUAGCCUUUCUGGACUCCAUAUCAUCCCACCUCCUCAUUUCAUCCUGUCCCAUGAUCACAAAUCCUUAAGUGUUUCAACCACAAACUGUCAGAUCAAAACUAUACCAUUUGGAGGGAGUGAAUGGAGCUAGGCAGAGUUGGGGGAUUUGUGAAAUGCCUGUAGACCUCAGCUGGCUUGGAGGAACCAACCACUUUGCAACACCCAGAGCAAUGAGCCGAGGACCAGGCUGUGGGCUGUUUUGGUGAGGAGCAUAGAGCAUGCUUUCAGGAUGACUGCUUUGCUAUAAUAGGCCACAGCUGGGUGCUGGACUGUGGGAAAGUAAGAGAGGAGAUUUGGAAGACUGGGUAGGCAGGAUCCCUUCUGGCCAGAGGUCUGAAUAAGCAUGAGCUACCUAAGCACACUAGGAGGGACAGGCACAUAGGCUCUGCCUGAGCCUGGGACUCAGCAUAAACAAUAAGCCAUAUGUGUAGGGAGCCAUGUGCUCACUGAGCUCAGCUGUCCACCUCCAUCCAUGACAGCAGGACCCAGAACUGUGUGAUUGCUCAUGGGCACUGAGCCUGCAGGUUCUAGGGAGCCUUCUUUUACUUUUGAGGAAUGUAACAAAGUUGUUAAAGCAUUCCCAAAUGUCCUCCAGUGGCCAUGAAUAAUCCAGUACUUCCUGGGCUCCAAUACCACUUCACAUUCUAUUUCAAAGGUUGGAAGACUUGCUAACAUGGCAGGAGAGUUUGUGGUUCUUUCCUUUCUUAGCCUGUAGGUGUGAGUCAAGGGUUCACUCACCUCUACCCAUGCAGGUUGCUGAUAGGAAGCCAGUAGAUCAAACCACCAGCCACAUCCCAGGGGAGAAGGGAUAGUCUGCAGUCCUCGCCCCACACAGGACUGGCCAAUCCCAUGCCCUGAGUAACAGUCUCUUGCUGUUUAAAAUAGCUCCUCAUUUAAAAUUCAACCAGCUGAGAAGAGCUUGCCACGUACCAUUAGGAGGGACAGGCAGACUAGGAAGGGACCAACCAAUCCCAUGAGUCAGAGUUGUUUUCUUGGGAAAGACAAGAGAAGAGCUGCUUGAAAGGCCAAAGACCAACAGACAUGCUGCCUGGCUUCUGCUCCUGUCUGUCUUUGCCUGAGGUGCCAAAUAUCUGUCCCCUCCUCUUGGUCACAGAGAGAGGGCUCCCCAAGGCUCUCCAGUGUGCUAAAAACCUCUAAACCCAUCCCUGCCUGGUCAGCGUUGCAAAUCUCAAGCGGCAGCUCCUCCAGGCCCCCGGCUUCUCCUCCUGCCCCACUGCAUGGACAUGAAGACAGUCGUCACCUGGGACCCUCCUUCAGCCACACCGCUCUUUUGCAGCCUCUUGCCCCAAGGUGAGGCUCUGGUGGAGUGGCCACCCCUGUUUCCAGAUGUCCUUUGGGCUCUUGCCUCUUUCCCUUUCUUUCCAUAGCACGAGACUCAGAGGCACCACAGCCUUGGCAAGGGCCAUCCAUUUGCCAGUCGGAGGCUCCUCGGUCCCCCAGCACAGCCUCCAGCUCUCAUUUGGUUCCCUUUUCCUCCCCUGGGGGCCAGGCUUGAUGGCUGUUCUGUUUCCUUCCCUCCUGCAGCUGGCGUUGCUCUCCUUCCCAUCAGCCUGGGAUAAGGGAGCUGAAGCACGCGUUGGCAUUGGCCAAAGAGGCUCAGGCAGAGACUUUUUCUUCCUCUUCUUCCUCCUUUUCUUCUUCUUCUUCUUCUUCUUCUUCUUCUUCUUCUUCUUCUUCUUCUUCUUCUUCUUCUUCUUCUUCUUCUUCUUCUUCUUCUUCUUUUUAAAGUACAGAGGUAAAAGCUCAGUGAUGUGGGAAACUCCCUUAGGAUCCUUCACCCUUCAGCCCUGGUUUUCCAGUCCUUUUCUUGUUGACAUUUGAACACCAUCUAUUUAUUAUCAUUUUUUUAUGAGGAAGAACCUCACGCUGAUGAGUUGUGCAAACGAUGCCAUUCUUUGUUACCGUCUGAAGGGGCGAAGGCCAUGGUGAACCCCGUGUCUGUUAAGAUCUCCAUUUAUUGUGCUGGUUGAUUUCCGAUUGGUGCAAUCUCACUUAUCAGGGACCUCUGAUUCUAGGAGAACAAAAUCAGCUACUUUCUCUAGAUACUGUAAGCAGACACAUAACUUUUACUGUAAUUUGAAAAACCUUGCACUGUAAUGGUUUAAAAAAAAAGCAAAUCUUAUUGAAACUGAUUUUUGUAUUUUUGAUUACAUCUGAAUUUUCACAUUUUUGUAUCUAACCGUAUCCACAGUAGCGCUUCCAUAGCUUGUGUUCAAGGUCUUGUUUUCUUUCCAGGUUGAAUUCUUAUGAUUGUGUUGAUGCCAAAAGUUUAAGGGGCAGGACUGGGCCUGGCUGAGAACUUGUCAUGGGGGUUGUGUCUCCGGCCUGGUCUCUGGCCAUCAAAGGGAAAUCUUGCCUAGAUGGAGCAAGCUGACGUCGCAUUCCAUUGCGUGAAUUCCCACAGACAGCUCACAUCUCCAACUAAUUCAAGGCCAGUGGUUUUGGCCAAACCUUUGCCAAGGACUCUCUCGACUGAGUUGCCCCCACCCCUGCAUUGCCCAGUUUCCUGGGUAAGGGAGGACAUUUUUGGAAACAAAACUUGUGAAAUUAAUUUGUGAUUAUGAUUUUUUCUUCUUGCUGGAAACGUGCUGGGAAACAGACAGCAUGAAGUUAUCUCUCUUUCUGCUUUUCCAACCAAUACACCUGUUGUGCUCCUUGGUUUCUUGGUGAAGAAAAUUCUAGACGCAGACCUAAAUAUGAACUCUUCCUCCUGUAUUUCCGAUUAGCAAUUCUCCUGUGUAAUCCUAACUGUUGAAGUGUUUUCCUUCUUAGCAUUGCUUCUCAUAUUUUACUUUAUGUUUUUUUUUACUGAACAACAACAACAAAAUCACAAAGGAACAAAUAAUCUCUCUCUUUUUCUCUCUUUCUCUCUCUGAUGUGUAAUGUUGUGUUGUCCAGAUUCUGUAUAAAAAUAUGUAUAUGAUGUAUCUGAUAUUUGGCAGCCACUGGCUGUUACUUUAACCAAUAUAAUUAACAAAAAUGCAUAAUGUUGCUGUUUGAUUUUUUUUUUACAAAAAGAAAAACAACCUAGUUAAGAUGUUUGUGUAUUUUUGCAUGGUUAAAAUGUACUUAGUGCAUUGAGAAAUGUCGUGGAGGUACUCAGUGAAAAGGCUGGUUUACUUUUUGAUUCUCAUGGUGAUUGGUUGUUGACCAGACUAUUCCCAAUGAUGUUUGUCUUCUUUAAUUUAGCAUAAUUCUAUUUAUAACUUGCUUUAGUAUUGAAGACUCAACAUAGUGUAUCUAUCUGUCUCUAUUGUAUUUACUGUUCCUUAAAACCAGGUUGUGGAAGUUCACUUCAUCUGGCACAGGUGUCUCCAUUGCUGAUUUCUGUUGAACUGUAUUCCACCCAAUUGCUGAGCAGCCCAGAUGUGAAGCACGCAGGCCUGUGGACAAGGGCUGCCAUCUCCUUCUGGAGGUCAUCCUUCGAGCAGUCCUGUGGCUCUCCCUUGUCUCGGAACAGCUCUUUUCUUGUUUUGUUUUGUUUGGGUUUUUUUUCAAGUCCUAGUUAUAUAAAGAAGAAGAAAAGGACAGGAAGGAAAUCUGUGUGACUUUGGGCCCUUGCCCACCGAAUUCCGUCUGUAAAAUGGGGAAUUAAGCUACAUAACCUCCAAGAAGACUUGUUUUGUAUUGUGGAUACAUUAGACAAUAUUUGAACACGUAUUACAGUAGAAUUGCCCAAGGAAGUCCCAUGGGUCUAUCAAUCCACUUCAACAGUGAUUACUGUCUCAUGGCCGAUCCUGUUUUGUUCACAUCCCCACAGCUUGAUGAUCACAUUUUCUUUAUUAUUAUAGUUCUUAGAGUCCUGCAUAAUAUAUUGCCCACAAAAUAAGAUAGCUUGCACCAGAGAAAAGUCAGGCAGGGAACUGGUGCACAGAUGACUGGUCAUUACGACUGACUUUUCUCCUAGUGCACAUCUCGUCCUCAGGGAUGUCCCACGCUCAGGGCGUCCUGAGUAACUAGGGCACAGGGUCUCCAUGCUACUGCAGCCGCAGGCCCAAGGCAUCUCUUGGAGAGCACUCCCCAGCCUGCCAUCUCAGUCUGGAGGAUAGAAGGGCUCCUGUCUGCCUUCCCAAGCUCACGGGUGCUGCACCGGCAGGAGUAGGUAGGUGGCUCUUUGGCAGCAAUCAUCUGAGAGCCUCUUCAUCAGCGCCAGGACCUUGCAGCUGCCAGCUCACCCAGCUUCUUGCCUGAAGUUGACCCCAAACAGCAGGCAGCUCUGAGCUUCCUGUCUCCUCAGCUUUAUUCCAAGGUGACUCUGUGUCCUUCCUCCAGAGCACAAAGGAAGGAGAAGGCUCUCCCCUCUGCACUCUUCUGUCUUCUGCAACUUUGUGAGUGGAUCCAAGUCAAAGGAGCUUCUUUCAUCCCCUCAGAGGCCACCCAGGACUCCACAUCCCCAUGGCUGUGUUGCUAUCUUUCCAUCUGCUUUGAGGGACCAUUCCAGAACCCUGAAAUGCUUGUCCUCUUCUCCAGCUGAGCAUAGGCCUCAUGGGGUGUGCAAUCACCAGGCCGGGCUUUGCAGGCCCCAUGGUGUUCCAGGUCACUGGGAUGGGCCAGGUGGUUGCUAGCAGGGGUCUUGACCUGACUUCUGCCAUGAACCUUGGUGCCUGGCCUUCUGCUCGCCAGCUGAGUGAGCCCAGGAGAGAGAUGUGGAGAGUAGAAACUUGGUUAAGUUGCCCCAAGUCAGGGACAAGCCUUCUUUCCACGGAGCCUUCUUUCCAAAGGGCAAGCCCUCCGCUACUGUGUACUGUAAAUUCAGCUUCAGGAGGCCAGGCCCCCUUGCACUUGGGGGACAGGUAGCUGAGGAGAAAGAGACCCCUUCUCACCUUUUGUUUACGUUCAAUCUGGCUGAAUUUAGCUGCCCUUAACCUCUAGUUUGCUAAAGUCCUUAUUGCCUUAAUGACCACCUAAUAAGCAGUCAGAACUGUUGAGAAGCCCCUCUGUGUGUGGCAUUCAUCCGAGGGAGGCCCGCCCCGUCUCCCCAUUGCUGCUGUGCCUGAUAAGAGCCUAAGGCCUGGCUCCAAAGCCCAGGGUUCACCUCUCACUGACAGAACAGAGCAAUGUUCCCAGGCUGGGGACAAGCCCAGGACUGCUCAGGCAGGAGAGAUGCCCGGGCCCCUUGUGACCACUGCCAAGCCGAUGCCCUUCUUUGGUCUCCGUUGCUUCAGAUCUGGACUCUCCCUCUCCUCUCCCUCCACCUCUCGCCCAGAGACCCUCCACCCCUCAUGCUCAGUGAGGACCAUCUAGACUUUUUCGUUCUCUGGAACACGCUACUCCCCUUCAGCUGCAGCAUCUUUCUUCAGCCUGUCCACCAAGCUCUUUAAUUGAACGGCAGUUGCUGUCUUCCCUUGGACAAUAAUGAAUGUAUCUAUUGUAAGUGCAGACCAUGUAGAGAAGUGGCUGGGUUAAGAAAAAAAAAGAGAGUUUUCUUUUGUAAAGCCUGUUUAUUUUUUUAAGCCAGUUUUGAGCAUUUUUAUUUUACCACCCUUCACAUGGUUUUGGGGAACCCAAACUGCAUCAAGAUCUCAUGCCAAAACAAGCCAACGGUUGUUUUCUUUACCUUUUUCCUCCACGCACCAUGAUUUCAAUGAUUGUUUUGGUGUCAUUUUAAAUGUUUUCUUGUGACAUGUACUAACGAUAAAAGUCAUCUUGACAAAAAAAAGAUUUAUACAUGAAUCAGAAAGUAUUUAUUUCAAUUUUGUACCUUUCCAUUUUAAUACAUUAUAAUGUAUUGACUCAACUGAGAUAAUAUAAACAGUUCAUUUUAAUAA
Molecule: long non-coding RNA, 8636 nt
Filed under: Heterocephalus glaber (naked mole-rat)
Lineage: Eukaryota; Metazoa; Chordata; Mammalia; Rodentia; Bathyergidae
Description: lncRNA (ENSHGLG00100051336.1)
Source: RNAcentral